Molecule: ribosomal RNA, 458 nt
Filed under: Astropecten triseriatus
Lineage: Eukaryota; Metazoa; Echinodermata; Asteroidea; Paxillosida; Astropectinidae
Description: partial 12S ribosomal RNA
Rfam family: Bacterial small subunit ribosomal RNA
Source: RNAcentral
UGCAAGAAAUUAACACCACAGUGAGUAAAAUUAAAGUUACACUAUAAAGGAAUAACUUUUGUAAAAGGUAUCAGAAAAUUAACCAAAAAUUCUAAGACACCUAGACCCCCACAUCUGCAGUACCUAACAUUACACAAUAAGCAAAAGCUUGAUAUAGUUAUAGACUAAAGAGUUGGUUAAUUAUGUGCCAGCCGCCGCGGUUAUACAUAAGACUCAAACUAAGAAGUUUAUAUCGGUCUAAAAGUGAUUAGGGAUAAAACUACUUUAGGGUGAAAAACAACUUCAGUACUAAUAAGCUUUUACAGUAAACUAACAACUAAACAAAACUUACCUUAAAUCCCCCGAAGCACUAAAGCUCAAGAAUAAACUGGGAUUAGAUACCCCACUAUAUGAGCCGUAAAAAACCAAAAACACCAGAGAACUACGAACUAAAGUUUAAAACUCAAAGGACUUGGCGG